CUACGGGGUGCACCAGUGAGGAAUAUUGCACAAUGGGGGGAACCCUGAUGCAGCAACGCCGCGUGGAGGAUGACACAUUUCGGUGCGUAAACUCCUUUUAUAGGUCAAGAUAAUGACGGUAGCCUAUGAAUAAGCGCCGGCUAACUCCGUGCCAGCAGCCGCGGUAAUACGGAGGGCGCAAGCGUUACUCGGAAUCACUGGGCGUAAAGGACGCGUAGGCUGUUUAGCAAGUCAGAUGUGAAAUCCAAUGGCUCAACCAUUGAACUGCAUUUGAAACUGCUAGACUAGAGUAUGGGAGGGGGAGAUGGAAUUAGUGGUGUAGGGGUAAUAUCCGUAGAUAUCACUAGGAAUACCUAAAGCGAAGGCGAUCUCCUGGAACAUUACUGACGCUAAGGCGUGAAAGCGUGGGGAGCAAACAGGAUUAGAUACCCCGGUAGUC
RNAcentral lists this ribosomal RNA (439 nucleotides) under uncultured bacterium. RNAcentral's name for it is "partial 16S ribosomal RNA". It matches the Rfam family "Bacterial small subunit ribosomal RNA", at positions 339 to 795 of the family's 1533-position model. The record is from RNAcentral.